UACGAAGGUCCCAAGCGUUAUCCGGAUUUAUUGGGUUUGAAGGGUGCGUAGGCGGACUGUUAAGUCAGUGGUGAAAGCUCCAUGCCUAACAUGGAAAAUGCCAUUGAUACUGACGGUCUUGAGUACAUUUGAAGUGGGCGGAAUGUGUCAUGUAGCGGUGAAAUGCUUAGAUAUGACACAGAACACCGAUUGCGUAGGCAGCUCACUAAACUGUAACUGACGCUGAGGCACGAAAGCGUGGGGAGCAAACAGG
This 253-nucleotide ribosomal RNA is filed under the name uncultured bacterium. Its description in RNAcentral is "partial 16S ribosomal RNA". It matches the Rfam family "Bacterial small subunit ribosomal RNA", at positions 524 to 776 of the family's 1533-position model. The record is from RNAcentral.